RNAcentral lists this long non-coding RNA (2748 nucleotides) under Haliotis rufescens (red abalone). RNAcentral describes it as "uncharacterized LOC124121960". The record is from RNAcentral. Lineage: Eukaryota; Metazoa; Mollusca; Gastropoda; Lepetellida; Haliotidae.
ACACAAUUGCACAUAAAUCAUAUUGACCUCAAAAACCAGUUAUUGAGCAUGAAUGUGUUCUCAAGAACCUCCGCCAUGACAGUUCGUGUAGCCUAGCAACCACAGCUCCACACACUGCUAGAUUAGACUAGACUCCUUGCACUGCCCACCGUCUCGAGUCGUAAACGGGUGCAUUCAUGUUUCACACAGCACCCGCUGGCCUGGUUCGCGGGGUACAUAUCACCAUGCAGGAAGAAGCUGUGUCACACCCGGACAAUCCACCCCGAUAACGCUGAUACAUUCAAAUGGACGUGUGGGGUUAGGACUUUUGCUGUAUCGGAUACAGGACGUAUGGUCCCAGGACUGAUGUGGCGUGGGGGGAAGGUGACCACGACACGGCAACUACACUGACGACAGCCCUGGUCGUCGACUCUACACAGAAGCUCCAGCACCCACCUACUCCUUACUGUGACAAGGGAACGCAACACGCACUCGGACGCCAUGUCAGAUGAGUACAGGACAGGAAAUUUGCAAUAUCUGUGCGUCACUGGUUGACCUUUCUGUUGAUCCACGUCACGACACAGGAAGAUGGCCGCGUGAGGGUCAGGGCGAAUGAAGUCGACUACAGAGAGGAAGCGGACAAAGGGUAUGGAUAUAACCAACAUGGCCGAAGGUGAAACUGAGAGUUGCCAUGGUGACGAUAUAUCAAGUAUGCAGAUACAGGCACUCCGAAGCUUGUUUCUCCUGUUGGUUUUGGCAGUUUCAAUUCUCGUCGUGGUCUCGUCCCUCGCAGUGCUCAGGAAGCCGAAACUCGCUCCCAGUGUCAAUGUCUAUGUGGGCGUGGCAAUGGGCAAUAACGGUGACGACUCUGAACGCUUAAAACGUGGUGUUAAAAUCCCUCUUGCGCAUGCGCCUGCUGGAAAAGGAAAGCAAUUGCACAGUGUCCCCAUGCGUAAGAGUCCCAGAGAGAAGGGCAAACAUAGAACCAGUCAUGGGCACAGCAACAAUACAACAAUGGCUGUCAACGGAAACGGCAGGAAAAUUACACACGGUCGGGUUGAUAUAAAACAUGGACCUAUAGUCAAACCAAGGCACAAACAAUCUGGAAAUAAUACUCAUCUCGGUAGACGACAUGACAAGCACACUGCGGAUCGGGCAGACCUGGCGAUGCCAUCAAGGAAUCCGGUGCCCAGCAAAUACAACUCAACUCAUUCACGUGACAUGCGACGUCAUGGAACCAACAGAGGUUAGGAGAUGUGUGUCAUCCAAUCAAAUUACAGCAACUGUGCCACGUGACGUUGGUUCAACCAAUGGAAGCAAUGAAUACAACAUGUGCCUUGACUCAUUCUGGUGUUAAUAGAUUGAAGCGGCAUUGUUCAUACUGUGGUAUCCACUUGAUAAUAUUUGCACUGUAAUCCGCUCUGUAAUCCGCAAUGGCUGGAAUAUGUUAGAAACUAUUUGCACGAAUUCUUUGUGAAACUUUGAACAAUACUUUGGACACGUCUAACACGAUGCAGGGGGAGACCCCUGUAGUACCGACCAUUGCAUUUUCUGGAGUGUGUGAGUGUGUGUGUGUUGGGGGGGGGGGGGGGUUGUUUCAUGGCUUGUCAUAUCACCGACCAGUGCUUUCCUACCACUUCCGGCCUUCCUUCCGCAUAGAGCUGACACGCAGUGAUAUAACCGGAAAACUGUUCAAAGCGGCCCUGAACUCACAGAACACCGGGUCGACUCCAGGAAUAGAACAGAAUUCAAGUCUGAAACAUAUCUCAAACAUGUCUGACGUAGAAACGUCCCCAGUCUGAAAAGAUACAAUUGAAGUUUGGUCCAAACCUUCCGACUCACUCACUCACUCACUCACUCACUCCAUUCAUCGUUUAAACAUCACAUCGGAGAUUGUAUAGACACCUGACACCUCACUGGUCCUUGUGCAAUAUCGGGGACUAUAUAUACUGGGACUAUCACUAGCUGUAGAAGUACGUGACAGCUGAACGGUGAACAAGGAAAGGGGAGAUAACCGAAGAGGGCAGGGUUCGGGUCUGACGGGUACUCUUUCGAGUAUUAGAACACCAGGGGAGAUAACUCCCAUCUUCAGAUCUCACUGAAGAGAAACAGGACAGUGUCAGGUACAUUGACAGAUGAGAUGCGAAAAAUACAAGACAUGAUUGAUUGUGGGACAUAAUUAUUUUUGUUGGAAUCGCGUCCUCGAGACAGGGUCACGUGAUCCCUGUAUCUAAGCACUGGUUGUCAGUGAGUGUGAUUGUCUGUGUCGGCCUGCUGUAUCGCACUGUGAUAACUCUUGACGUCAUCAGCCAUGGUAUUAAUGUGACGUCAUCAACUAUGGUACUCUUGUGACGUCAUAUGCAUGUAUUUGGGAUUGUAUGUCGGGGUUCAUUUCAAUAAUGUGAAAAUCUCAAACAUGAGUAUUUCAUUUGCGUUUGAACAUUUUCCGAUCUCAUAUUUUGUUAAAAGAUAUAUUUUCAUUGUGAUUAACCCACGUGACAAGAGGAUGAUAGACUUGCUAUUAUAUACAAAAUAUGUCUUUCAUACCGAAGUGUCUGCAUGCUGCCGGAUUACCAGACUCAAAUACCACGAAGUUUAUAAUUAUGCACCUAUGCAGAAACUUUGCAAAAACGCGAGAUCAAAGUAUGAAACAGUCACGUGGUAUAUGGAGUCGGUAAUCUCCGAGACCUCUCGUAAACCGUCGGAAUGAAAAGAUCUAUUUUUGAGGGAAAUGCUCCUUUUGGGUAUUUAAUAAAUUAUUUUUUUAUA